UGGGGAAUUUUCCGCAAUGGGCGCAAGCCUGACGGAGCAAUACCGCGUGAGGGAUGACGGCCCUUGGGUUGUAAACCUCUUUUAUCAAGGAGGAAGUUCUGACGUGUACUUGAUGAAUAAGCAUCGGCUAACUCCGUGCCAGCAGCCGCGGUAAGACGGAGGAUGCAAGUGUUAUCCGGAAUCACUGGGCGUAAAGCGUCUGUAGGUGGUUCGAAAAGUCCACUGUUAAAAAUUGAGGCUUAACCUCAAAGAUGCCGUGGAAACUUUCAAACUCGAGUAUGGUAGGGGUAGAGGGAAUUUCCAGUGGAGCGGUGAAAUGCGUAGAUAUUGGAAAGACCACCGAUGGCGAAGGCACUCUACUGGGCCAUUACUGACACUGAGAGACGAAAGCUAGGGGAGCAAAUGG
This 406-nucleotide ribosomal RNA is filed under the name uncultured bacterium. Its description in RNAcentral is "bacterial SSU rRNA". It matches the Rfam family "Bacterial small subunit ribosomal RNA", at positions 355 to 775 of the family's 1533-position model. The record is from RNAcentral.